GUCUACGGCCAUGCCACCCUGAACAAGCCCGAUCCCGUCUGAUUUCAGAAGCUGAGCAGGGUCGGGCCUGGUUAGUACUUGGAUGGGAGACCACCUAGGAAGACUAGAUGCUGUAGGUG
RNAcentral lists this ribosomal RNA (119 nucleotides) under Pteropus alecto (black flying fox). The record is from RNAcentral. Lineage: Eukaryota; Metazoa; Chordata; Mammalia; Chiroptera; Pteropodidae. RNAcentral also lists the same sequence under 1 other name.